This 131-nucleotide non-coding RNA is filed under the name metagenome. Its description in RNAcentral is "Environmental sequence SAH sequence". It matches the Rfam family "SAH (S-adenosyl-L-homocysteine) riboswitch aptamer". The record is from Rfam by way of RNAcentral.
CCUCCCACCGAGGAGCGCUGCAACCCCAUUAUUAAAUCGGCACCUGCGGUCGGGUUUCGACCACAGGUGCCGAUUUAGUCGCGGGGCCAGGCUCGGUGAGGAGGUAUCUUCAACGACGGCGCUCACUCUGA